RNAcentral lists this ribosomal RNA (858 nucleotides) under uncultured bacterium. RNAcentral's name for it is "bacterial SSU rRNA". It matches the Rfam family "Bacterial small subunit ribosomal RNA", at positions 33 to 882 of the family's 1533-position model. The record is from RNAcentral.
ACGCUAGCUACAGGCUUAACACAUGCAAGUCGAGGGGAAACGGCAUUGAGUGCUUGCACUCUUUGGACGUCGACCGGCGCACGGGUGAGUAACGCGUAUCCAACCUUCCCAUAACUGAGGGAUAACCUGCCGAAAGGCAGACUAAUACCGCAUAUUCUUCGUUGACGGCAUCAAAUUUGAAGUAAAGAUUUAUCGGUAAUGGAUGGGGAUGCGUCUGAUUAGCUUGUUGGCGGGGUAACGGCCCACCAAGGCAACGAUCAGUAGGGGUUCUGAGAGGAAGGUCCCCCACAUUGGAACUGAGACACGGUCCAAACUCCUACGGGAGGCAGCAGUGAGGAAUAUUGGUCAAUGGACGGAAGUCUGAACCAGCCAAGUAGCGUGCAGGAUGACGGCCCUAUGGGUUGUAAACUGCUUUUGUAUGGGGAUAAAGUUAGGGACGUGUCCUUAUUUGCAGGUACCAUACGAACAAGGACCGGCUAAUUCCGUGCCAGCAGCCGCGGUAAUACGGAAGGUCCGGGCGUUAUCCGGAUUUAUUGGGUUUAAAGGGAGCGUGGGCUGGAGAUUAAGUGUGUUGUGAAAUGUAGACGCUCAACGUCUGACUUGCAGCGCAUACUGGUUUCCUUGAGUACGCACAACGUUGGCGGAAUUCGUCGUGUAGCGGUGAAAUGCUUAGAUAUGACGAAGAACUCCGAUUGCGAAGGCAGCUGACGGGAGCGCAACUGACGCUGAAGCUCGAAGGUGCGGGUAUCGAACAGGAUUAGAUACCCUGGUAGUCCGCACAGUAAACGAUGGAUGGCCGCUGUUGGUACCUGGUAUCAGCGGCUAAGCGAAAGCAUUAAGCAUCCCACCUGGGGAGUA